GACGAACGCUGGCGGCGUGCUUAACACAUGCAAGUCGAACGGAAAGGCCCUGCUUUUGUGGGGUGCUCGAGUGGCGAACGGGUGAGUAACACGUGAGUAACCUGCCCUUGACUUUGGGAUAACUUCAGGAAACUGGGGCUAAUACCGGAUAGGAGCUCCUGCUGCAUGGUGGGGGUUGGAAAGUUUCGGCGGUUGGGGAUGGACUCGCGGCUUAUCAGCUUGUUGGUUGGGUAGUGGCUUACCAAGGCUUUGACGGGUAGCCGGCCUGAGCGGGUGACCGGCCACAUUGGGCCUGGGAUACGGCCCAGACUCCUACGGGAGGCAGCAGUGGGGAAUAUUGCACAAUGGGCGGAAGCCUGAUGCAGCAACGCCGCGUGCGGGAUGACGGCCUUCGGGUUGUAAACCGCUUUCGCCUGUGACGAAGCGUGAGUGACGGUAAUGGGUAAAGAAGCACCGGCUAACUACGUG
This 468-nucleotide ribosomal RNA is filed under the name uncultured bacterium. RNAcentral describes it as "partial 16S ribosomal RNA". It matches the Rfam family "Bacterial small subunit ribosomal RNA", at positions 28 to 507 of the family's 1533-position model. The record is from RNAcentral.